CAGAUGUGUUCAAACCAUAGACUGUCUAUAAAAAUUGGACGUAGUGUCCGGGUCCGGAGAGUGAAAGCCAAUGCGGAAGUGCCCAAAGCCUGUACUCUCUGGAAUCACCACCAGAGGGCGACUCCACUGGCUGCAGAAAGAAAUUUCUGAAUUGGUCAGGUGUUGAUGACCGUUCCACACAAUGGAGCCAAUCGGAGAGUUGUAGCUACGUUGCCCCAGUUGUGUGAGGUGCGCAGUCCAGUGCGGCUGCCAGAAGAUGCACAACAUCGCCCGGAUGUCCAACCUUUGACACGAGUUGCACCCACGUGAAGAAAUGAAUCAUGGAGAGGAUCUGCCAAACAGCCAAGGAAAUACGGCCGACGUGGAUGAUGAGACGGAGUCUGAAAAAUGCUAACCGUCAGAAAUGAGCCUGAUCACUGACGAGCGAAAAGGAGAGUGUGACUGAUGUAGAGGCGCCCUCCACGUAUUACCGUAUUUCAUGUUUCACUUCUACGAGAGAGCGGCGUCGUGAUAAGGACUAUUUUUACCCCUCAGAUUAAUGAUGUCUCGGAGAAACUUUCGCAACAGGACGAGUGCGAGACAUUGCAGUGCUUAUUAUCUGCGUAUCACCUACUUAUUAUUUCCUCUUGAGGCAAAAUAGAGGUCUGUUCGUCUCGUUUUGUGGCACGGUAAUUGUUUAAUUGCAUUAUGUACCACACUUAUAUGGAAGUAUGCAAUCAAAUUCAAGCGAUGCAUUCGCUGUCCAUUCUUGCCAAUUCCUGUUUUUGUAGGUGUA
Molecule: long non-coding RNA, 775 nt
Organism: Scophthalmus maximus (turbot)
Lineage: Eukaryota; Metazoa; Chordata; Actinopteri; Pleuronectiformes; Scophthalmidae
Exons: 4
Source: RefSeq, a predicted model, not a curated record